This 73-nucleotide transfer RNA is filed under the name Felis catus (domestic cat). It matches the Rfam family "tRNA". From Rfam's summary of the family: Transfer RNA (tRNA) molecules are approximately 80 nucleotides in length. Their secondary structure includes four short double-helical elements and three loops (D, anti-codon, and T loops). The record is from Rfam by way of RNAcentral. Lineage: Eukaryota; Metazoa; Chordata; Mammalia; Carnivora; Felidae.
ACCUGUCUGGCUCAGUUAGUGGAGCAUGUGACUUUUGAUCUUCGGGUUGUGGAUUUGAGCUCCAUGUUGGGUG